Molecule: unclassified non-coding RNA, 253 nt
Filed under: uncultured Flavobacteriaceae bacterium
Lineage: Bacteria; Pseudomonadati; Bacteroidota; Flavobacteriia; Flavobacteriales; Flavobacteriaceae
Description: contains 16S-23S intergenic spacer region
Rfam family: Bacterial small subunit ribosomal RNA
Source: RNAcentral
UACGGAGGAUCCGAGCGUUAUCCGGAAUCAUUGGGUUUAAAGGGUCCGUAGGCGGAUAGGUAAGUCAGUGGUGAAAUCCGGCAGCUCAACUGUCGCACUGCCAUUGAUACUGUCUAUCUUGAAUUACUGUGAAGUGGUUAGAAUAUGUAGUGUAGCGGUGAAAUGCUUAGAUAUUACAUGGAAUACCAAUUGCGAAGGCAGAUCACUAACAGUAUAUUGACGCUGAGGGACGAAAGCGUGGGGAGCGAACAGG